Molecule: transfer RNA, 76 nt
Filed under: Simiduia agarivorans
Lineage: Bacteria; Pseudomonadati; Pseudomonadota; Gammaproteobacteria; Cellvibrionales; Cellvibrionaceae
Also listed under: 4 other names
Description: tRNA-Val
Rfam family: tRNA
About the family: Transfer RNA (tRNA) molecules are approximately 80 nucleotides in length. Their secondary structure includes four short double-helical elements and three loops (D, anti-codon, and T loops).
Source: RNAcentral
GGGUGGUUAGCUCAGCUGGGAGAGCGUCUGCCUUACAAGCAGAGGGUCGGCGGUUCGAUCCCGUCACCACCCACCA